ACGGGUGAGUAACACGUGAAUUACAUGCCCUUCAGUGGGGAAUAGCCCAGGGAAACUUGGAUUAAUACCCCAUGGUAUCGCAAGAUUAAAGGUGGCCGCAAGGCUGUCGCUGAAGGAUUGGUUCGCGCCCUAUCAGCUUGUUGGUGAGGUAACGGCUCACCAAGGCUACGACGGGUACCUGGUCUGAGAGGACGAUCAGGCACACUGGAACUGAGACACGGUCCAGACACCUACGGGUGGCAGCAGUCGAGAAUAAUUCACAAUGGGGGCAACCCUGAUGGUGCAACGCCGCGUGGAGGAUGAAGGUCUUCGGAUUGUAAACUCCUGUCAUCUGGGAGUAAGACCUGGCUGUGAAUAGCAGACAGGGUUGAUAGUACCAGAAGAGGAAGGGACGGCUAACUUCGUGCCAGCAGCCGCGGUAAUACGAAGGUCCCGAGCGUUGUUCGGAAUCACUGGGCGUAAAGGGAGCGUAGGCGGCGUGGUAAGUCAGAUGUGAAAUCCCGGGGCUCAACCCCGGAACUGCAUCCGAUACUGCCGUGCUAGAGGAUUGGAGAGGUAGCUGGAAUUCUUGGUGUAGCAG
This 580-nucleotide ribosomal RNA is filed under the name uncultured bacterium. RNAcentral describes it as "bacterial SSU rRNA". It matches the Rfam family "Bacterial small subunit ribosomal RNA", at positions 102 to 681 of the family's 1533-position model. The record is from RNAcentral.